GUGGAUGUAGCUCAGUUGGUUAGAGCACCAGAUUGUGGUUCUGGGGGUCGUCGGUUCGAGCCCGAUCUUCCACCCCA
RNAcentral lists this transfer RNA (77 nucleotides) under Bacteroidales bacterium. RNAcentral describes it as "tRNA-His". It matches the Rfam family "tRNA". From Rfam's summary of the family: Transfer RNA (tRNA) molecules are approximately 80 nucleotides in length. The record is from RNAcentral. Lineage: Bacteria; Pseudomonadati; Bacteroidota; Bacteroidia; Bacteroidales.